Molecule: non-coding RNA, 32 nt
Filed under: Mus musculus (house mouse)
Lineage: Eukaryota; Metazoa; Chordata; Mammalia; Rodentia; Muridae
Source: RNAcentral
UGCUACAGAUAUUACAUUAAGUAACUGCUGGC